RNAcentral lists this ribosomal RNA (277 nucleotides) under uncultured bacterium. Its description in RNAcentral is "partial 16S ribosomal RNA". It matches the Rfam family "Bacterial small subunit ribosomal RNA", at positions 28 to 317 of the family's 1533-position model. The record is from RNAcentral.
GACAAACGCUGGCGGCGUACCUAAGACAUGCAAGUCGAACGGACUGCGGGUCUUCGGACCUGCGGUGAGUGGCGAACGGGUGAGUAACGCGUAGGAACCCGCCUCGACGUGGGGGAUAACACUUGGAAACAGGUGCUAAUACCGCAUGUGGUCGCGAGAAGAAAGGCAGCAAUGCCGCGUUGAGAGGGGCCUGCGUCCGAUUAGCUUGUUGGUGGGGUAAGAGCCUACCAAGGCGACGAUCGGUAGCUGGUCUGAGAGGAUGGUCAGCCACACUGGG